CAUGGCUCAGGACGAACGCUGGCUGUGUGCUUAAUACAUGCAAGUCGAGCGAAGUUUUUCUGGUGCUUGCACUAGAAAAACGUAGCGGCGAACUGGUGAGUAACACGUAAAGAACCUGCCUUAUAGACUGGGACAACUAUUGGAAACGAUAGCUAAUACCGGAUAACAGCAUUAAAUGCAUGGUUGAUGUUUGAAAGUUGGUUUUGCUAACACUAUGAGAUGGCUUUGCGGUGCAUUAGCUAGUUGGUGGGGUAAAGGCCUACCAAGGCGACGAUGCAUAGCCGACCUGUGAGGAUGAUCGGCCACACUGGGACUGAGACACGGCCCAGACUCCUACGG
This 339-nucleotide ribosomal RNA is filed under the name uncultured bacterium. RNAcentral's name for it is "bacterial SSU rRNA". It matches the Rfam family "Bacterial small subunit ribosomal RNA", at positions 18 to 344 of the family's 1533-position model. The record is from RNAcentral.